GACGAACGCUGGCGGCGUGCUUAACACAUGCAAGUCGAACGGAAAGGCCCUGCUUUUGUGGGGUGCUCGAGUGGCGAACGGGGGAGUAACACGUGAGUAACCUGCCCUUGACUUUGGGAUAACUUCAGGAAACUGGGGCUAAUACCGGAUAGGAUCUCCUGCUGCAUGGGGGGGGUUGGAAAGUUUCGGCGGUUGGGGAUGGUUUGGAGGGUUAUCAGCUUGUUGGUGGGGUAGUGGAUGACCAAGGUUUUGACGGGUAGCCGGCAUGAGAGCUUGGCCGGCCACCUUGCUCCUGCGGGACGCACCAGACUCCUACGGGAGGCAGAGGUGGGGAAUCUUACACAAUGGGCGGACGCCUGAUACAGCAACGCCCCGUUCGUGAUGCCGGCCUUCGAGUUGUAAACCGCUUUCGCCUGUGACGAAGCGUGAGUGACGGUAAUGGGUAAAGAAGCACCGGCUAACUACGUG
This 468-nucleotide ribosomal RNA is filed under the name uncultured bacterium. Its description in RNAcentral is "partial 16S ribosomal RNA". It matches the Rfam family "Bacterial small subunit ribosomal RNA", at positions 28 to 507 of the family's 1533-position model. The record is from RNAcentral.